Molecule: long non-coding RNA, 2047 nt
Organism: Rhineura floridana
Lineage: Eukaryota; Metazoa; Chordata; Lepidosauria; Squamata; Rhineuridae
Exons: 4
Source: RefSeq, a predicted model, not a curated record
UAAUUUCGUUACUUUUGAGCUGUAACUUUAACAUCUCCAGCGUUACUUUUGGGCAUUACUCGGGGGGGGAGCGAGGGAAGUCUUCUGCUCCUCUGAUUGGUGGAUGAAAGUCAUAUGCCUCAUAAUGAGCUUCUGCGCAGCGUUGCUCUUCCCUCAUGCUCUGUGGGUGUGAGGAGGUGGAGAGUGAGACAGUCGUGGAGCAGAGAGAGAGAGAAAAAUUGCUUCAAAAAUGGACAGUGGUGGAGAAGAAAGGAGUGGAGGGAGAAAGCCAGAGGGCAAGGACGUGGAUGAAGGAGGCGAAAGGGGCAGCAGCAGAAUGGAGAUGAAGAACUGCGGAGUUAUUACAGACAAGCCUGUUGCAGUUGUUGCUGCUGAGAGCAACAGCCAGUUGGUGCAGCCACUUGAGUCACAGCUCAUUGAUUCUGAGGAGGUGAAACUGGAAAGUGAAGUUCACAAAGGAGGCCCUGUGCAUGAUGAUGAGGACAACAUGAAGCAGUGCCAGUUGCCAACAGCCACAUCUGCAGAACAGCAAGUACCAUGGUUUGGCUUUGAGAAAGCUUGUACAUUUGUGAGCCAGAGUGGGAGAAAUGUCGUCGUAAGAUGCAGUUACUGCCUUCCAGGGAUCAAAACUCUAAAACCAGCUAUUUCCUCCUCAUCCAAUGUGAAGAAGCAUUUAGAGGGUACACCCUGAGAAGACGCAAUAAAGGCAAGGAGACAUGGCCAUCCUGAACCAAUGCAUGACGCCCCCUUCUUCCAAAAUGCUGAAACAGCAGCAGACAACCCUUGAGAGGUGGGGAUCUGGCAAGGAGGCUGUCACCCAGAGCAAUCUCGACAGGAAAAUCAUUGAUUUCAUUGUAGAGGAGACAUUACCACUUCAGACUGUGGACAAACCAUCAUUCAUUAGUCUGGUUCGCACUGGACACCCAAAAGAUCUCACCAUCAUAUGCGGCAAGACUCUGAGAGACAGAAUUUAGAAGACAGCAUGCCACAUGAAACUCUUGCAAACCAAAUGAGUGCUGUGGCAUAUAUAGUAACCACUGCAGAUUGUUGGACCAAUGACAAGAAGAGUUACUUUGGGAUAACAGCCCUCUGGAUCAACCCAACUACCCUGAAACGUGAGGUGAGGGCUUUGGCUUGCAAGCUUCUGAAGGGGCCUCAUACAUAUGAUGUCCUUGCAAAAGCACUGCAUGAUGUGCAUGUGCAGUACAAGAUUCACAACAAAGUUAUGUGCACUACUAUAGACAAUGGCUCCAACUUUGUGAAAGCGUUCAAAGUUUUCAUGGCCAAAGAACCAGCAGAAGCUGCAGCAGAGCUUGGAAGUAACUCAUUAUUUUUAACGAGUUACUUGUAAUUAGUUACAAUUUUAAAUAACGAGUGGGUAAUUCCAUUACAUUUGGCAAGUAACGGAAUGACUAGUAAUUUCCCUACUUUUCAGCUGCAACUUUAACGUUUCCACGUUAGGUUGGAUGUUACUUGGGGGUGGGGACAAGGGGAAGUCAGCUCCUGGCUGUGAUUGGUUAACACAAGACAUGUGCCUCACACUGAUUGGACCUCUGCGCAGACUGUCGCUUCCCUCGUGAUCUGUGUUAGGAGGCACGAGGGAAGAGGUGAAUAGGCAGGGCCUGCUAGCAUCUGAGAGAAAAAAAUGGACGCCGGAGGAAAAAGCCAGGGCAAGGACAACGGAGCAGAAGGCAGCAGCAGAAUGGCGAAGAGCUGUGGAGAGACGCCUGUUGCAGGUUUUGCUGCUGAGAGCAGCAGUCAGUUAGUGCGGCCACUUGAGUCACAGCUUGUUGAUCCUGAGGAGGCAAAACUAGAAAGUGAGGUUCAGAAAGGAGGCCCUGUGCACGAGGAGGAGGAGGGCAUGAAGCAGUGCCAGUUGCCCACAGCCACAUCUGCAGAACAGCAAGUACCAUGGUUUGGCUUUGAGAAAGCUUGUACAUUUGUGAGCCAGAGUGGGAAAAAUGUUGUUGUACGAUGCAAUUACUGCCUUCCAAGGAUCAAAAAUCUGAGAUCAGCUGUUUCCUCCUCAUCCAAUGUGAAGAAACAU